UAUGAAGAACGUAGCGAAAUGCGAUAAGUAAUGUGAAUUGCAGAAUUCAGUGAAUCAUCGAAUCUUUGAACGCACCUUGCGCUCUUUGGUAUUCCGAAGAGCAUGCCUGUUUGAGUGUCAUGAAAAUAUCAACCUUGACUUGGGUUUUGUGCUCUAGUCUCGGCUUGGAAUUGGGUGCUUGCCGCUUUUACGAGCGGCUCACCUUAAAUGUAUUAGCUGGAUCUGUCUUUGAGACUUGGUUUGACUUGGCGUAAUAAGUAUUUCGCUAAGGACAUUCUUCGGAGUGGCCUCGUUUCUAGGACGCUUGUCCACUUUCCAAUACAAGUUCCACCUCGUGGACAUGACUUUUUAUUAUCUGGCCUCAAAUCAGGUAGGACUACCCGCUGAACUUAAGCAUAUCAAUAAGCGGGGGA
Molecule: unclassified non-coding RNA, 413 nt
Filed under: soil metagenome
Description: partial contains 5.8S ribosomal RNA, internal transcribed spacer 2, and large subunit ribosomal RNA
Rfam family: 5.8S ribosomal RNA (bases 2-120)
Source: RNAcentral